This 6691-nucleotide long non-coding RNA is filed under the name Sus scrofa (pig). RNAcentral describes it as "lncRNA (ENSSSCG00000041908.1, ENSSSCG00025042930.1)". Lineage: Eukaryota; Metazoa; Chordata; Mammalia; Artiodactyla; Suidae. The record is from RNAcentral.
GAUUUGAGAGAAAUAAAAUGAGUAAGGGAGUUAGAAUCCAUUGUACUAGUGAUGGGGGCUUGAACAGGGGCAAUUGGAAUAGGGAAUCGAGAGGAGAAGAUGGAGCUAUCAGCCAGUGCCUGGCCACUACGGUGGUUCCAGAGCUGGGCCAUUCCUGUUUGGUAUAUAAGAUGUUUCCAUAGGUAAUUUUUGCUCAAGGACUAUCUUUUGGUCUGACCAAUACUCUCAGAACUGCACUGCAGUAUGAGGCUGUUCCUGCCCAUUUUUCCUUCAUUCUUUUUUGUAGUAUUAGACCUACAUCAUGGUCUGAAGUGUCCCCCUGCCUGUUAUAUAGCACUCCCUAUGCAUCAUAGGUAUUCUCCCAAUAAAGCUUUUUCAUCACUAAUUCCAAUGUGACAUCUGCUUCUUGGAGGAUCCAAACUGACAUCAGAAGCACAUAGACAUAGGUGGGGUGAAAGGGAUGAAACAUGAGAAAUUGGUUACAGAAAUCCUAAGUUUGGUCUGACAGAGAAAUCUGGCUGGAAAUUAAGAUAGUUGGAUAAACAAGUUAGAAAGUCAGAUAUAGGGCAUGUAGAUGUGGGGGUCUUUGGCACACUAUAGUGUGUAAUCAAAACUGUGAGAGUGGAUGGAAUCACUCAGGCAAGAAGACACAUGUGAAAAUGGAAAUUAUUAUGUUCAUGCAAAUUAAGAUGCAUUAGAGCAUACACGGAUCAGCCCUGUCACAUUCACUUCCUGUUCUCCAUUCCCUUUGUCCAGUUUGUGCUCCCCGUCUUUCCUGUUGGAUGUGCUGCCUGUGCCAACCAUCUCCUAUGAACCCUUAGCACAUUUAAGGCUCUUCGCUGCCAGGAUUAGAACUCACUUUUUUUUUUUUUUUUUCCUUUUUUUGUCUUUUUAGGGCUGCAUCCUCGACAUAUUGAAGUUCCCAGGCUAGGGGUCAAAUCAGAGUCACAGCUGCUGGCCUGCAUCACAGCCACAGCAACGCCAGAUCUGAGCCACAUAUCUGACCAACAAUGGAAUCCUUAACCCACUGAGUGAGGCCAGAAAUCAAACCUGUGCCCUCAUGGAUACUAGUCGGGUUUGUUAACUGCCGAGCCACAGUGGAAACUCCCAGAACUCACUCUUGAGUUAGUUGUGCCUUAUACCUCCAUCUUUUCCAGAAAAGUGAUAAUUCUUAGUUCUUCUCUUGAGGUCUCUGUCUCAAUCUUAAACUCCAGGUCAGUAGGGAUCUGAUGCUCUUAAUCCUGCGGACAGUUGAAGAUCCAUUUCUCUGCCAUAGGCAGCAGGUUUUACUGUGAAUUCUGAUUUUUUCCCCCACGUCUCGCUUUUACUGUGUAUAUUCCUUGCUUUGUUUUCAUCGGAUAUGGUAAGGAUUUCUAUCUGUUCACCUCUGGUGAUUACUCUAGCUUUAUAAUUGGCUGUUUUUGGCAGGGCAGUUCCUUCUAUCUUUAAAGCAUUAGCUCUAGUCUAAAGUUCCAGCUCCUCUGUAGUCUUAUGUAUAGGAGUCUCUUACACUUGUUCUUUCAGCCAGAUAGGUGACACUGCUUCAUGGCCCUCCAUAUUUUCAGAAGAGUCUGGCAUUCCAAGGAGUCUCCUUUAGUCCAGGCAGCUGUGAAUGUGAAGUGAAUCCUGUAAUCUUGUGUUGAUGGCAUAACAACAUAAGUCUGGAUCCACCUGUCUUUUGCCCUGGCCUCAUAUUCUUGGUACAUUUUACCACAUAACUAGAAUGUGGAAAAGGUUGCCCCAGUGGUGGGGUGGAGUAGAGACACGCAGUGUCAUUCUGUAUGAACUUGUGCAACUUUUACAGUUUCACCUUGAACCAAGUAGAUACUGGAAGAGAAUAAAGAUAAUAUUCCCACAAUACACUUGAUGUGAUGAUUGCCUUUUAAGUGGGUGCACCUUUGUUAUUGCAGAAGAGUUAUUAUAAUCCUUAUAUUCCUUACAGUUCCUAAGUUAUAACACAUGUAUUUUUUAAACUUUUUAAAUUGUUAUUUCCCCAAUACAGUUUUUUUUUCUACUGUACAGCAUGGUGACCCAGUUACACAUACAUGUAUACAUUCUCUUUUUUCCCAUUGUCAUGCUCCAUCAUAAGUGACCAGACAGUUCUCAGUGCUACACAGCAGGAUCUCAUUGAUUAUCCACUCCAAAAGCAGUAGUUUGCAUCUAUUAACCCCGAGCUCCCAAUCCAUCCCACUCCCUCCCCCUCUCCCUUGGCAACCACAAGUCUAUUCUCCAAGUCCAUGAUUUUCUUUUCUGUGGAAAGAUUCAUUUGUGUUGUAUGUUAGAUGCCAGACAUAAGUGAUACCAUAUGGUAUUGUCUUUCUCUUUCUGACUUCACUAUGAGAGUCUUUAGUUCCAUCCAUGUUGCUGCAAAUGGCAUUAUUUUGUUUUUUCUUAUGGCUGAAUAGUAUUCCAUUGUGUACAUAUACACCAUAUCUUCCUGGUCCAAUCAUCUGGACAUUUGGGUUGUUUUCAUGUCCUGGCUAUUGUAAAUAGUGCUGCAAUGAACAUGUGGGUGCAAGUGUCUUUUUUAAGGAAAGUUUUGUCUGGAUAUAUGCCCAAGAAUGGGGUUGCUGGGUCAUAUGGUAGUUCUAUGUAUAGUUUUCUAAGGUACCUCCAAACUGUUCUCCAGAGUGGUUGUACCAGCUUACAUUCCCACCAACAGUGCAGGAGGGUUCCCUUUUCUCCACAUCCCCUCCAUUGUACAAAUCUGGCACUAAUCACAAUUUCAUUCGUAUAUCUGCUUUCUUUUUAGGCUAAUAAAAGCUGUUCUACACAAGUCUUAUAUCAAAGUCACCACAUACAAUUGCCCUCAGAUGCAGUGCCUCAAAACUUGCAACAUUUUAUGAACUUCCUCAUAUCAAUAUAGACAGUUUCAUGCAACCUUGAUGGGCCCUUAAUUUCUCAUUACAUGGUCUUCUGACAAUUUUUGAAAUACAAGGUGAGCACUCAUACUACAAUGUCCUAUCAAGAAGGCUAAUUAAUAGAGAAAACCAUGCCAUAUCAAUGUCAAAUAUUAACUGGGUAAUAGGAAUCCAAGGAGCGGAUUAGAGAGAGUAGGAUGAAUUUGAGGAAGUAAAAGUCAAGGAAUUAUAAUGAGAGUCAUCUGAGAUAGUUUGAAGAGGCUGAAGCUUUCAGUGAUGUGAUCUAAAAGCAAUUUGAAAACAAGUUUCAGGCAAAUAACUCAACAAUCCAGAAUGACAUGACAGGCAGUCUUGGGUACAACAUGAUUUUGCAAACAAUAACAUAGUUUGCAAAUAUUUGUGAAAUUAUAGGGCCAUAGUCUCUUUUGGCCAUAUCUGUGCCAUGAAAAAUUUCCUGAGCCAGGGAUCAAAUCUGUGUCAGAGCAGUAACCAGAGCCACAGCAGUGACAACACCGAAUCUUUAACCCACUGAGCCACCAGGGAACUCCCAGGGUUAUAGAUUUUUAAUGCACCUGUGUACGUAAGUAAUGGUCAUAAUAGCGUUUUUUUUGCUUGUUUUUGUUUUUGUUUUUUUUUUCCUGAACUUGAUUAUAUACCUCUCUAUGCUAAAAUCUCUUAUCAAUAUUUGGUACAUAUAACCUGUGUACCAGUGCCUGAUGGUUAUGUUUUAAGCUUCAUUGUUUACUAACUGAUGGGUACUGCUCUUAGGUCUCUGUUAGUAUAUCAGAAUACUCUUUCAGUGUGAAUAAUUGCUCUAAUAUUUACUUUCCAUUUGAUUGCAUCCCUCCCCUUUCCUGCUUCCUCUGAAAAUAAUGGCUAGGUUUUAAAAUACCCCGCUGAUGGACUAGUAUUAAUCAAUGGAAAUUGUUAAACAGAACUUCAGGUUAGAAAAGAAAUGUUAGCAUAUGUAUAAUCUAAUAUUUUGCUCACUAUUGAUGGUCAUUAGUCACAUAAUCAACUUUACAUUAUAUGCUCUAAGUAUAUAAUUAUUUUAAAUGUAUCUAAAUGUUCACCCACUUUCACAUUUUUCUCCAUGAGAAUGAGGCUCUAUGACUCAUAAUUAGAUCACCUUCUUUCAACCUGGAUUGGUUUAAUCGUUUCUUUGUCCCAAAUCACCUUUCGGUAAAUUAAACUAAUGGAAAAUAACCAAGAGCAUUGGAAAGAAUGUGAAUCUAGGCAUGAGAAGUAAAAGGAUUAAGCACACCUGUUCUAAUGGUCCUUUUUAAACAUUUUCUGUAAUUGUAACAGUAACUCGGGCGUAAGCAAUGGUUGAAGCUGUGUAAAACCACAGAGAAUGUGGAGUGUAGGACAACAUUUGAAUUUUAUGAAAUUUAGUUGUGUGUAUCUUGGGUUUUAAACAUUUGGAUAUUUGUUUCCACAUAAACGUAAUGAAUAUUAGCUCAGGUUAUGUAGCUAUCUUUCUUAGAAUCCUGAGAAUCGCUGGUAUUAGGGAUGGAGGUCUUUUGCAGAUACACAGAUCUAGCAGUUAAUAUAUGUGUACAGAAGAAUCCUUUCUACUUCAUCUUUGUAUCUUUCCCUUGGGAAAUAAGCAUUUUUGUUUGCAAUUACCUUUUAUAUGCCUAGUUCUGGUGUUACAGAUGAAGACAUAUCCUGUGGGUGUAGAAAAUGAAGCUUUACCUUCUGAGAGCUAACAUGGUGGUUUAGCUUAUUUGACACUUGCUUUGCUGAAGUAAUCUUGUUGGUAAGGCUUUAAUCUUGUACAUCAUGCCAGUAAGUUGGGUAUUUUUCACAUAGUAAGCAGGCUAUCUUAAGCUCUAGAGCCAGGUGUCUGUGUCUUUCACAUGGACAAUCAGAAUAUAAAAUAAAUAUAAAUACUGCCACUUUCUAUCACUAAAAACUCAUUGAAAAUGAUCCAGAAAAGGGAUUCUUAUCAACUAUCCCUAAAAUUUUAUGAAACAUUGUGAGAAAUGUUUAUAUGUAUGUGUUUUAUUUCUGUAUGUUUUAAAAGAGAGGGUCCAUAGCUUUCCUGAUACUUAAGUGGGGUUUACAGUCCCCAGAUACUUAGAAUUGGUGCCAUAGAAUACAAGAAAUAUGAAGAACAAGCACAAAAAUGAAAAAAAAGUGAAAAAUUAUGUUCUUUUUAAAUUAGUAGUAUUAUAAAUAACAAAUUAUAUUGUUCAAUCUGAAUUUUAUUUUACUCUAACUUUGUUUUUGUUUAUAUGUGGAACACUUAAUGGCAUAUUAUAAUUUCAUUACAUAAAGUUCCAAAAUAGAUAAUGAUAUUCAAGGUUGCUGUGUAAAGGAUAUCAAUUUGUUUUACAGUCAGGUUGAAUAAAUACAUUAUUUUAUUGAAAUUUCUGGGGGAGAAAAUCAACAAAAAUCACUAACUUGAAUACCACAUUUUUUUCUACAAAGAAGGAACAUACAUUGUUUCAUUAGACUGAUCCUAAAGUCUAAAAUUCUAUAAACAAGUGAAAUAUUGACUUAGUUUUUAAACAUACAAAACUAAGUAGACAUUUUUUUGGGGGUAGAUGUUUUGGGAAUAUUAUCUUAGUAUUCAUUAUGGUUAAAAGUAUGGUAUUUGGAAUCAAUUUCAAAUUUCAGCUUUAGUCCUUAUUGACGAUGUAACUCCUGGCCAAUAAGCAUACAUUUUCAUUCCUAUAAAUGAAGCAAUGAACAGAAAGCCUUUGUUCAGUGUCUGGUAAAUGAAAAUGCUUUAUAAGCAGUAAAGCAGUAGUAUUCCUAGUACUUGCAGUAUGUGCAGUAGUGCUCAGAGUAGUAAUCAUAGUUGGAUUUGGAUUAAUGUAUAUAGUAAGAGACUUAAUUAUAUAGUAAGAGGUUAGUGAGGGAGGUUGUUAGAAAGGCAUGCUGGGGAGAGUGAGCCACCUAGGACUGCAAAUAGGGCUUAAAUCUAGCAAAUUAGGAGAUACUGCCCAAGAAUUACUCCCUGCUUAGAGGGAGUUAAAUCAAUAUGUUUGCAUAUUUGAUAUCUUUAUAGGCCUGAACAAUUAACAUGGGAUGAUGAAAUACUGAAAUAACAGAAAUGGGGGUAGUCGAUACAUGUAUUUAAGUUAAAGACGGAUCAUUAGUUAAUAGCCAUAAAGAGAUCCUAGGCAUGGUAUAGAUCCCAUGAGUAAAACAGAAAAUAUUACAUUAGACUGUGAAACAUGUUAAUGUACAAAACAUAUAAUUGAUGAUGCAUGGUGGGCACAAAUUUUGUGAGACAAUUCAAAGUUGUCAAUACUAUGUAACUACUAUUGUAGCGACUUUUCUAUAUGUGGGGCAAUUUCAUCUAUAAAAUCUUUCUACCUCUAUACAAGGGAGUGGUUCUAUUUACAUGCUCUAUUUUUGUUUGGUUGUACAUGUUGAAAAAGUAGCCUUAUUUUAAAAGUAAUUAUAACUCGAUAAUACAUCAAAACACAAUCUUUUUCUUAUUCUUCUUUUCCCCAUUUCUAUAUCCAAGUAUAGAAUGAUCAUUAUUAAAUGUUUUGGUCCACUUAAUAUGGCUCCUGGUAAGCUAAUAUUAAUUGGAACUAAUGUUUAUUUGAGGCUUCCUAGAUGUAGGCACUGAGAGUUCUGUCUGUAUUAGCUUGUGUAAUCCCAUCGUAGUCCUGUCAGAUAGGAACUACCUUUAUGCGAGCUUAGAAAAUGUAGUUGUUUUGCUUAAGGUCACAUAAUUGAUGAGUGGUAAGGCCAAAAUUCAAAUCCCUAUGUGAUUCCAGAACUCAUAUGCAGUAAAACAAUGUUAAUUGGCCUCUCAGAAGGGAAGAUGAGGUAACCCAUUGAAUAUAGAUAGGAUCUCUUACCAG